ACUUCGCUUGUUUUUCCGCCAUGACACAACGACCGAGUACGGAAAUCCCCGAUCAGCGGUAGGCGAGAGACACUGCACAACGGCCGUGCGCACACCAUUCGAGAUUAUUUUUUUUCUCCUUUUAUUUUGGAAAUAGUAUAUUACGUUACAAAUGUACUAAGCCUACCCCUAAAAAUAUUAACACACGAUAUUAACAGUCUCCAUUUAUUACACACAGUGCGUGUAUUGUUUGUUUAAGAUCGAUAAUUGGAAAAAUCAUAAUAACAUUUUUGGUUAGCGUAGGACCAGUCCAGCGGAAUCCUCGCAGUAUGCGUCUACGGUUUGCAAUACACCUCACCUCUCACUCAACAACAAGCACUUUUAACGAGUUACGAAAUGUUAUAAUUCUUACCAUGACUCCUUUGUUCUUCGGGGGUGGGCAGGAGCUUGUUGCGAGGGGACUAAUUCGACUAAUUGUCGCGAGAUGAGCAGAUUGUUGGGGUAACCGUGAUAAAGAAAAGGGACGAAACAGAAAAAUGCCUCAUCAUUGCAUGCUCUCCUGACGCCGUAACAAUCCGGAAGAGGAUCUCGCAGUCGUUGGGGGGAGAAUUUCCGCGAGGAUAAUGGAAUGGCGGGAUCAAGUGUGAGGACGUUAUUAUUUGCCUGGGUAAAUCGAACGGAGUCAGGGUGACUGAUGCAACAGAUGAUUUUACGGUGAACUACAAUUUUCUUCAAUUUUCUGGAUGGAGGUUGGGUGUUAUCGUCGAGUGGAGCAAACAAAAGGCUGAAGAAGGAGUCGAUAAGUGAGGAAAAACACAUUUGUAGUUUAUAAAUGUUGAUUUUUCCUGCGACAAAACUCAAGAUCUGGUUUUCCGGUGCCGAUGCCGGUGUGAGUGAAUGUUUCAGUUAAUUUCGGGGUUUGGAGGCGCAUUUGAGUGAUUAGAGAAGAACAUCUUGCAAUUCCGACGAGGUGCAUCUGGCCUACAUUAAAAUUUAAGUAGACACUUUAGAGACAUAUGACUGCGCCAGUCAACCGUCUUUGAACAUUCCACGGAUGCCAGACAUCCUGGUAUGCGCUGACACGUACACAGACACCAGACGGAGUAGAUCAUAGCGAGGUGGACGGAAAAUUUAUCAUAAAGAUCUAUUUGAGACUCAAAGACUAAUAUAUUCCUUCGAUGCCCAGAUCUCACAAUAGCCUCAUAGGUCUCUCGUUGGAACUUAGUUUGAUGCCCAAUCGAAGACCAAUAUCUCGACUGGGAUCUUGCCGGGAUGAAUGCAUGGAUAUUAUAUAAAGAAACAACAGGAGAAAAUAUUUCAAGAAAAGGCUUUUUAUUCCCAUUAUCCGAAGAACUUGCAAUUAGCUACAAAGAACUAACCGGUAGGUCUACAGAUCAAGUGGAAGGAAUAUCAUCAUCUAUAUUGUCACAAAAUCAGACACAUAUUUCGAUGAAACGUAAACGAAUAACAAACUAAUAAUAAAACGAACAACAUUUGUGGUACAUCCCAUAAACGAGUCUGUGGUAAAUGUUCUGCUAAAAUAUCUGUAACUUGCAGAAAUUUUUUCAACCUUUAUGCAUAAUUAUUUAAAUAAUUACUGCUAUUAUAUUACUAUUAUUAAAUGAUUAUAUUUAAGUUUUGUUCAUAAAAUUACAAAAUAUAUAAAAACGUAAAAAUUACUGUCUUUUCUUAUAUAUCUUUUAGUAAUUUAAGGAACAAGUCAUUUUGACCCAUCCGGUAGAAGUAGGUAUACUUCAAUCGUCGGUCGUUCUAGCGUUAAAUUCGAUCCCUUGAAAAAUCUCAAUCCAAACCCCUUUUCCCAGUCUCCAUUUAAAAUAAUAAAUUAAAAAACGAGUCUCCAUCAUCACCAAUUAUCAGUUAUUAUUAUCGCAUUGAUACAAUUUCAUAAAUUUAUCCAUCAAAAGCACCGCUCAUAAACCCUGCCAUUUCAACCGAGAAUAGCGACGGUAAUAAUCUUCAAAGUCCUCUUCCAUUCACGUUAUUAGCCAUGAUGCAUUGGAGAAUGGUUUUAUAAAUGAUCGAUACGACUUUUAAUUGCGCAUAAAGACGUCGAUCAGGCUGACAUAAACGACAAUGGUAAUAUAAAUUACCGUUGGUCACAAGUGCACAAGGGCUGAUAUCAGGAUCUGGCAUCUAUUGCGCACACGAGACCGGAGAGAGGCAUGAUGAAGAUGAGGGCGAAGGAGGAAGAGGACGAUCGAUAGGAUACAAGUUUACAAAUUUUUUUUUUUCGCAUCCUCAACGGUGAUGAGGGGGUUAGUAUGAGGUACCUGAGAAGAGGUGGAGGAUUCCAGGAACGCCUACGGGGCACUUGACCUCUCUGCCGUUCGUGGUGUGCUGUAUACCGAAGAGGUAACCGUGCGAUAAUCGACCUUCGUAGCGACCUUAGACGACAUGAGGACGGGCCCCUCUUCCUCAACGGACGGGCCCCUUAUCCUCACCUUGGACAUCAAAAAUCGAGUAUACUAGGAUCAAAUAUAGAAUGUACUUAGAAUAAGCAUUAAUUAUAGUCAUUUUAAGUAUAAAAUGUACUUAAUUCAGGUUUUUUGUUCCCUGUCCAGUCAUUUUCUCAUUUCCCCCAGCUUCGCGGCGAAUUUAGAUGACAUGGAGACGGCGGCCUCCCCUUCCUUGACAUCACCUCGCCCCUUGCUUCACUCAUUUUUGCCUUUUUUUUCCCUUCACAUCUUCUAUCCUGCCGUCUUCUCCUUCUGCCGGUUUUUUUUUGGUCGUCUCGUUUCUUAACCCGGGGGAUAAGGCUCCAUACAGCGUGAAGGAAUUAUACGAGUACUUUAAGAGGAUUUCAGAGCGAAACGAUUCGAAAAGGGGAUAUGCAUCGGUGCAGAGCGAAUUCACGGGUCAAAUCGGCUAAAUCCAUUUGUGGGUAAUUGUCACAUAAAGUGAACUGCGAGUGAAUUUUUUUGCGGUGAAAUAAUAAAAAAAUUGCUGAUUGACGUGCGGGAAAAAUUACAGCAGGAAAUGUCACAAUCGAUUAAUUCCGGGAGUUUUUCAUCAAUUCCGUAUCACCGGACGUCGACAAUUAAUUAACGAAGCAUUACAUAAAGUCGCCAAUCUGCAUAAUUGAACGGAAUCGCGAGGUUGCCAAUGAGACGCGGAGUCUAUUCACCUGGGAGAUGUCUUGGCUGCAUUCAUCAUUUGGACGGAGCUCACCCCUCAACCCCUCCCUCUCCGUGGUACCUCUUCAACUUGGAGAAUUAUAAUGGCCAAGUGGUAUUUUAAUUGCCUCCACCCAUGGUGUGGGUCCCUGUACCAGUGGACCUCUCACGACUCCUUUACCUAUGGUUUAUAAACCCUCCGGGGUCUCUGUGGGGUCGAUUCAACAGAUGAGAGAACUCUCCUUUUCUCUCCUCUCUGCGACUCCAUGCGGGCCUGGAAAUGUUGCUGGGGAGGUUAUUGAAUACUGUGAUUAUGUUUCAGCUCUUUAAGCUGAGGCUGAUAGGUGUAAGUGAUGUUGGGUGGCUGGUUCGUCGAGGUUUUGGUCACUUGUUUCUGCGUACGGAGAAAUUUCUUCUAAAAAUUAUCAUAACCUUUUGUAAAAGUGUUUCAUGAGUCAUCGCUUCUUCAUUAAUUAUGAUGAUAAAUUUUUAUUCUGAAAAUAUUUACCCUCAUCAAACUGAAAAUUCAUGUCGUAAAAGAGUAAAUUUCACGAUGCACCAGAAUAAUAUUUUUCUAAUACAAUAUUUUUCUAAUAAAAUACAAAUUAGUCAUCAUAAAUAAAUUAUUAUUGAAUUUCCAGAAAGAAAGGAAAAAAUUAUGGCGCAUGAUACAGUCUAAUCGAACGGUGCGACAAUGUUCAUCGAAAAUCUCUCUCCGGAUGAAUUGUGGGUUUUAAGAUUUUUUGAUAAAUGGGACAAUAACUUUUAAUAUUAACAAAAGACUCUUAGAAAUUAAGACAAGGAUUUUCUGUCACUUGAGUAAGUUCAUUGUAUAACGUAGACUUUAGCCUAUAUGUUUAUUUUGUAUCUUUUCUAGUUUUUCGUAGCGGUAAUAAUUUAGCGUGAAGCGUUUAUUAUAAUUGAGUGAUAGUUUUAUGGCAUACAUGCCUUUUUGGGGCUUUUGUGUGAGGUCCAGUGAAGACAGUGUGCGGACAGAUAAACAAUGGAUGGUUUGUUCUAGUGCAGUGAAGAGGGAGAAACUAUAGAUGAGAAUAAGUGAGAUUUGGAAGAAUGGACAAUUUAGUUCGUUUUGAGUUUUCGGAGAGAACAGACUUACUUUAAUCGCGUCAUAUUUUUACCUUUUAAUCAACAUUACUGUACCAAGUUGAUAUUUUCUUAUUAUUAUAGUUUUUUUUUAAAUAGACUUUUUCGCAUUUAUUUCUUGCCCACCACAUUAAUCCUACAGAAUUGAGCAAAAAGAAAAAGAAUAUUUUGUUAAUUUUUUUUGGAAAACCCAUUGAAUGGGUUUUCCAAAAAAAGAUCCUUCAAAUGAAUUC
Long non-coding RNA from Diachasmimorpha longicaudata, 4450 nucleotides. RefSeq lists it as uncharacterized. The transcript has 5 exons. Lineage: Eukaryota; Metazoa; Arthropoda; Insecta; Hymenoptera; Braconidae. The record is from RefSeq and is a predicted model, not a curated record.